CAAAUAAUAACCAUAGUGAUAUGCUAUCUCUGGCACUUAAAUUUUCAGCAAGAAAAUUCUGGAAAAAUAACAAACCCAUAUUUUAUUAUUUUUUCGCUAAAAAUUUACGAUGACAUGCCCACCGAAAGUAAUUUUAGAUGUUCGAUAGAUUUGGAGUUCAUUUUUCUAGCUGAGUUAAUAUUACGUUUUGAAAGUCAGUGAUCUCGAAAAUAAAAGCCAAAAUGAAAGUCACGGUCAUCGCAUUCCUGGUGGUGUUAACCGUCUACGUUUCCAUGGUACGGGCACAAUCAGAUACUGAACAAGAACAAUCAGAUACUGAUCAACCAAAUUCUUCAGAAUCACCUUCUCAACAAUCAAAAACGCGAACAGAGCCGAAAAACAAGGACGCAAAGAAAGGCAUUUUGGGCAUAGGUAAGGUGCCUGGUGCCUAAUCUUCAGUAAGCUGCAAGGCCUCACACUCUAGAGGGAAGUUUUAUCGAAUAAUUAAUUUGCACUAUUAUUUUAUGCUUGAUCGCGUUUCAUUCAACGUCUACAAAAAAUCGAAAUGCAGAAUUUAGAAAAUAUUUUUAAGCGUUUAAAGUGUUCAUGAUGGUUAAAUUGUGGUUUUGUUGAUAUUCUACACAAUAUAUAGAUAUUUACAGCGUU
This is a long non-coding RNA of Planococcus citri (citrus mealybug), 645 nucleotides long. RefSeq lists it as uncharacterized. NCBI's taxonomy places the organism in Eukaryota, Metazoa, Arthropoda, Insecta, Hemiptera, Pseudococcidae. The transcript is spliced from 3 exons. The record is from RefSeq and is a predicted model, not a curated record.